RNAcentral lists this long non-coding RNA (1054 nucleotides) under Prunus persica (peach). Its description in RNAcentral is "long non-coding RNA (PPER_LNC003643)". The record is from RNAcentral. Lineage: Eukaryota; Viridiplantae; Streptophyta; Magnoliopsida; Rosales; Rosaceae.
CCCUCGUGCCUAGGCACAUUGCCUUGCGACAUGCAAGCUUUGUGCCUUCGGCAUCCCCUUUGCCUUCGGCACCCCCGUGCCUAGCUCUAUUGUCUUGCAACAUGCAAGUCUUAUGCCUUCGGCACCCUCGUGCCUAGGCCCAUCACCUUGCGACAUGCAAUUCUUAUGCCUUCGGCACCCUCGUGCCUAGGCACAUUGCCUUGCGACAUGCAAGCUUUGUGCCUUCGGCAUCCCCUUUGCCUUCGGCACCCCCGUGCCUAGCUCUAUUGUCUUGCAACAUGUAAGUAUUAUGCCUUCGGCACCCUCGUGCCUAGGCCCAUCACCUUGCGACAUGCAAUUCUUAUGCCUUCGGCACCCUCGUGCCUAGGCACAUUGCCUUGCGACAUGCAAGCUUUGUGCCUUCGGCAUCCCCUUUGCCUUCGGCACCCCCGUGCCUAGCUCCAUUGUCUUGCAACAUGCAAGUCUUAUGCCUUUGGCACCCUUGUGCCUAGGCCACAUCGCCUUGCAACAUGCAAGCUUUGUGCCUUCAGCACCCUCGUGCCCAGCCACAUUGCCUUAUGACAUGCAAGCUUCAUGUCUCCUUCGGCAUUCUCUUUGUCUUUGGCACCCCCGUGCCUAAACACAUUGCCUUGCAAACAUGCAAGCUUAGUGUCACCUUCAGCACCCUCGUGCCUAAGCCCAUCGCCUUGACACAUGCAAUUCAUAUGCCUUCGGCACCCUCGUGCCCAACCACAUUACCCUGAGACAUGCAACUUUGUCCCUUCGGCAACCCCUUCACCUUCGGCACCCUCGUGCCAAGUUCUCUCCCUUCCAGAUGUCCUUCUUACCCGGGGACUUGGGGGACUAUGGGUAGUGCACUAUACAGCUUGGAAGAUGAACUAUGGUGUUGCUCGGCCAGUGUACUUAAAAUUACAAGUCCCCAACCAAGAAGUAUCUUCUUACUUGAGAACUUAGGGGACUACUGUUUGUACCAUAACUGACCGAGCAACUAGUUAGGCUAGAUCAUUCGAGUGCCAUGCUUUGAGAGGUCAUCACCUUAGCCAAAGACGCAUCA